AGUGAACGCUGGCGGUAGGCCUAACACAUACAAGUCGAACGGCAGCAUAGUAAGAGCUUGCUCUUACGGGUGGCGAGUGGCGGACGGGUGAGGAAUACAUCGGAAUCUACUUUUUCGUGGGGGAUAACGUAGGGAAACUUACGCUAAUACCGCAUACGACCUACGGGUGAAAGCAGGGGAUCUUCGGACCUUGCGCGAUUGAAUGAGCCGAUGUCGGAUUAGCUAGUUGGCGGGGUAAAGGCCCACCAAGGCGACGAUCCGUAGCUGGUCUGAGAGGAUGAUCAGCCACACUGGAACUGAGACACGGUCCAGACUCCUACGGGAGGCAGCAGUGGGGAAUAUUGGACAAUGGGCGCAAGCCUGAUCCAGCCAUACCGCGUGGGUGAAGAAGGCCUUCGGGUUGUAAAGCCCUUUUGUUGGGAAAGAAAAGCAGCAGGUUAAUACCCCGCUGUUCUGACGGUACCCAAAGAAUAAGCACCGGCUAACUUCGUG
Molecule: ribosomal RNA, 492 nt
Filed under: uncultured bacterium
Lineage: Bacteria
Description: partial 16S ribosomal RNA
Rfam family: Bacterial small subunit ribosomal RNA
Source: RNAcentral